AGAUAUUGAAGUAAAAAAUUACAUUUAGUUUCGACCUAAAAUUAAGGCUUAUAAUCUUAGCCUCCUAUCUA
This 71-nucleotide transfer RNA is filed under the name Cydnidae sp. ITV1034. RNAcentral describes it as "tRNA-Arg". Lineage: Eukaryota; Metazoa; Arthropoda; Insecta; Hemiptera; Cydnidae. The record is from RNAcentral.